GUCCAAGGUGCCCGGAGGUGCCUCUCCACCAGAACCAAGCGCCUGGCACCAGCAAGUGCUACUCCUCUCAAAACUGGGACUUCUGGUCACAGCAGCAGGGAAAGAUGGAGGAAACGAGCUCUGCUAGGACUCUUGUUGGAGGAUACAAAUGCCAGAAGGUUGAAGGAAGCUCUGAAGCAUCGAGGAACUUGUGGUUCGUGGCAGGCUGUAUUCCUCGCCCUCACUUACCAGGAUUUGGGAGCGCUGGGUUGUAGAAGUGAUAAUCCUGGAGAAAAUGGGGCAGCACCUCAUGCUUGUGAUCCUGAGCGGCUGUCAGAAGGUGCUGCUUUCAGACCUACCUGCGGGACGUGGCUGCAGCUAAAGGACUAUACUGGUACCCCUGCACUCGUUGGUUUUGUUUGUCUUGCUCUCACUGUGUCUUUCUCAUGGAAGGGAAAGGCCAAGCCCCUUUUUGGCACUGCAAUAACCUCUCCGUCCCAUUACUUGGCUUCGUGCAAUUGCAUGGAGUCCCACUGGUGUGUUGGUGUUGGAAGGCUGGAUGCUCUGCUUCCAUCAUUACCGUUGCUUGCUUACAAUGGCAAUGCAGAAAGUCUCCCUGCCUACAUUACUAAUUGCCCCAGAAACUCAUUUUUUUACGUGGUUAUUUCAGGGAAAACCUCUGAAGCCUUAAUGUCUGGCCCUGUCUGCGGUGUGCUCUUUUCUUUAUGCUCUUUUCCAGCCUGGUUGAUCCUGUGAUUCAAUGAUCUUUACCAAACACAGGUUUUCCCUGCGCUGCCAUUCGUCUGCUGUCCCUGCACAUAAUGGAAGUCCCAGCAGGAGCCUGGUUGCUCUGACCUGCUCCCAACUCUCACUUAACCCUAUCACCAGAGCAGAGACCCUGGAAGCAGUUUGCCAUAUCAGACCUCUAUGGACCACUGCCUUUCCCCCCCUUUUAUUAUUAUUUUUUUUUUUGUUCUGCAGCAUGAGCUGAAGCCUGUUUCUUAAAGACAUGCCACCAGGACACCAAAAUGCCUGAGGUCUCG
This 1022-nucleotide long non-coding RNA is filed under the name Anas platyrhynchos platyrhynchos (common mallard). Its description in RNAcentral is "lncRNA (ENSAPLG00000018792.1)". The record is from RNAcentral. Lineage: Eukaryota; Metazoa; Chordata; Aves; Anseriformes; Anatidae.